CGCGGCCUAUCAGCUUGUUGGUGGGGUAAUGGCCUACCAAGGCGACGACGGGUAGCCGGCCUGAGAGGGCGACCGGCCACACUGGGACUGAGACACGGCCCAGACUCCUACGGGAGGCAGCAGUGGGGAAUAUUGCACAAUGGGCGGAAGCCUGAUGCAGCGACGCCGCGUGAGGGAUGACGGCCUUCGGGUUGUAAACCUCUUUCACCCAUGACGAAGCGCAAGUGACGGUAGUGGGAGAAGAAGCGCCGGCCAACUACGUGCCAGCAGCCGCGGUAAGACGUAGGGCGCGAGCGUUGUCCGGAAUUAUUGGGCGUAAAGAGCUCGUAGGCGGCUUGUCGCGUCGGCUGUGAAAUCCCGUGGCUCAACUGCGGGUCUGCAGCCGAUACGGGCAGGCUAGAGUUCGGUAGGGGAGACUGGAAUUCCUGGUGUAGCGGUGAAAUGCGCAGAUAUCAGGAGGAACACCGAUGGCGAAGGCAGGUCUCUGGGCCGAUACUGACGCUGAGGAGCGAAAGCGUGGGGAGCGAACAGGAUUAGAUACCCUGGUAGUCCACGCUGUAAACGUUGGGCGCUAGGUGUGGGGGACCUCUCCGGUUCUCUGUGCCGCAGCUAACGCAUUAAGCGCCCCGCC
This 631-nucleotide ribosomal RNA is filed under the name uncultured bacterium. RNAcentral's name for it is "bacterial SSU rRNA". It matches the Rfam family "Bacterial small subunit ribosomal RNA", at positions 232 to 873 of the family's 1533-position model. The record is from RNAcentral.